GAUGAACGCUGGCGGCGUGCCUAAUACAUGCAAGUCGAGCGAACGGACGAGAAGCUUGCUUCUCUGAUGUUAGCGGCGGACGGGUGAGUAACACGUGGAUAACCUACCUAUAAGACUGGGAUAACUUCGGGAAACCGUAGCUAAUACCGGAUAAUAUUUUGAACCGCAUGGUUCAAAAGUGAAAGACGGUCUUGCUGUCACUUAUAGAUGGAUCCGCGCUGCAUUAGCUAGUUGGUAAGGUAACGGCUUACCAAGGCAACGAUGCAUAGCCGACCUGAGAGGGUGAUCGGCCACACUGGAACUGAGACACGGUCCAGACUCCUACGGGAGGCAGCAGUAGGGAAUCUUCCGCAAUGGGCGAAAGCCUGACGGAGCAAUGCCGCGUGAGUGAUGAAGGUCUUCGGAUCGUAAAACUCUGUUAUUAGGGAAGAACAUAUGUGUAAGUAACUGUGCACAUCUUGACGGUACCUAAUCAGAAAGCCACGGCUAACUCCGUG
Molecule: ribosomal RNA, 497 nt
Filed under: uncultured bacterium
Lineage: Bacteria
Description: partial 16S ribosomal RNA
Rfam family: Bacterial small subunit ribosomal RNA
Source: RNAcentral